RNAcentral lists this long non-coding RNA (2473 nucleotides) under Sus scrofa (pig). RNAcentral describes it as "lncRNA (ENSSSCG00060027686.1)". Lineage: Eukaryota; Metazoa; Chordata; Mammalia; Artiodactyla; Suidae. The record is from RNAcentral.
GCUUGAUUUUCUCAGAUGUCUUUCUUCUGAGGCAAUGAAUAUGUUUGUUUCGGAGAUGCAGUCUCUUAGAUUAAUAAUAUGGAGAGUAAGAUAAGAAGGUAGAAUUGGCAGAGUCCUAGGACCAAAGCAAAAUAAUUGAAGAGAAUAUUACGAAAGCCUACUAUUUUUUUUAAAUUUAAUUUUAUUGGAGUAUAGUUGAUUUACAGUGUUGUAUUAGUUUCAGGUGUACAGCAAAAUGAAUCAGUCAUUCAUGUAAAUAUAUCCAUUCUUUUUUCCCAUAUAGCUUAUUACAAACUAUUGAGUGGAUUUUCCUCUGCUAUGCAGGAGGUUCUGGUUAAUCAUCUAUUUUAUUCAGUCAUUCCCAGUCUCCCAAUUCUUCCUCCGCCCCCAGCAGGUCCACCUAUGGUAACCACAAGAUUGGUUUUGAAAUCUGUGAGUUUCUGCUUUAGAAAUUAAGCGCUUUUGUAUCAUUUUUUAUUAGAGUCCACAUAUAAGUGAUACCAUAUGAUAUUUGUCUUUCUCUGGCUGACAGCCAAUUACUUUUGAAGAUAUUUAUAUGUGAUACAAGUAAAGAAUAACUAAAUAUGGCAGACUAAAUAACUAGACUAUCAUAUGGUAGACUAGAGAAUUAUGUCUAAUUUAAAAAAUGCAGCAAAAAAUUAAAUGAAAAAAGGAGGAUGGUAUAUAAAAAGUGCUCCCCCUUUUUCUGUAGCUAUAAUACAAACACACAUUCAGAGCAUCUCAACACAUGUAAUACACACACACACACAUAUAUAUACACACAAUACACAUAGCACCUAAACCAGAUCAAUACAAAAUAAGCAUAAGCCAACAAUGACAAUUCAUCUAUUAUCAGAUAAUAGACCAUUUCAUUGAACAACUUGUUUCAUUUUCAGACAUCUGCCUGCAUUUAGCCUGAAAUUAUUGAUUAAAAGCCAAACAUAAAAAGGAAUUAGAUGGAAUAAGACUAUCUAGAAACCAAGUAGCAUUUUAUAAACAUAAUUUAUGCCACAGCAGUUUUCCAUAUGAAGAUAAAAGGCACAGAACAUGUGUUAUUGAUCAAUCACUCCAACAAUGGAUGACAGUAUAAAGCUAGUAUGUAUUUGUGAUCACAUUUGAAGGUAAUAUGUUUUCACAUUAAGCAUAAAAAUACUAUUUUAUUAUCCCCCAAGCUUUUAUUAAAAUCUGAUGGGUCAGCCUUAUUGGAUCAUGUUAUAUCUUUCUUCAUGCUCUAUAUUUGCAAGAUCUACAGCUCCUAGGAAACCGAUCUUUGCAAACUAUUUAGGUUUAGGGACCAUAUCAAUAACAUGUUCUCAAUGAGUAAUAUUUUCUGCCUUUUUGUCUAGGAUGUGAACUAAAAUAUUCCCAGUGUCUCUGAUUUUAUUUCAGUUUCCAAACUGCAAGUAUUUAACAUAUUUUUUGCACUUUAUCCUGGUGAGAGAUAUAGCAGUAUAUAAGGUGUUAUAAUAAAAAGCAUACAUUGUAAUUUCCUCAGAACAGAAGGCUAAAACUUUACUGAGGGAUUGUUUUCACCUGGUAAUUAAAUCACAGUAUCAGGGAGUUCCCUGGUGGCUCAGAAGGUCGAGGAUCUGCCAUUACAACUGCUGUGGCAUGGGUUUGAUUCCUGGUCUGGGAACUUCCUCAUGCCACAGAUGCGGCCAAAAAUAAAAAAUAAAUUACAUCAAUGUAUCAGUAAUAUGUUCUCACGUAAAUGUGUGUUGAAAAUUAUUGAGCAUUUAUAUAUUCUUAUUGGGAUCAAAUCUUUCUUAGUAGACUGAUUAUCAUCUUUUAUCACAUGACCUAACUCAUUAUUAGCACAUAGUAGACAUUCAAUAAAUAUUUGUUAAAUGAAGUGAAUUAAUACUAACAGAACACAACAAAAACAUAUUACAUGUUCAUGAGUGUUCUCGAUCUAGACUCAUAUCCAUGAAAUAUUCUACUUUUUACAAUUCAAUUUGUAAUUACUUAAAAUUAAAGCCACAAAGAUAUUUUGACAUAUUUUUUUUCAUGUGUGCCUCCAAAAUACUGUUAGGUAAAUGCAAAAGAAGAUGCAUAACAGUUCAAGGGUAAGUAUUUUUGCUUUUUUUUUUUUUUUUGCUUUUUAGGGCCACACCUGAGGCAUGUGGCAGUUCCCAGCCAUCAUCACAGCAACUUAGAAUCCAAGCCCUCUCUGCAAACUACACCAGAGCUCAUAGCAACGCUGGAUCCUUAACCCACUGAGUGAGGCCAGUGAUUGAACCUGCAUCCUCAUGGAUAACCAGGUGUGUUUCUGCUGCUCCACAGUGGGAACUCCCAAGGGUGACUAUUUUCUGAAGACAUUUAAUUUGUCUUCUUAAUUUCAUGUUUCAUCCAUACAUAUGUAAAAACAGUUUGGUUAACAUCCUCAUAUAGUGCUAUUAAGCAUCACUACUAUAAAAAAGAAUCACCAUAAAAUUGUUGUGAGAUUUUAGAAAACUAAAGAAUAUAAUUGUGU